AACGAACGCUGGCGGCAUGCCUAGCACAUGCAAGUCGAACGAGACCUUCGGGUCUAGUGGCGCACGGGUGCGUAACGCGUGGGAACCUGCCUUUAGGUUCGGAAUAACUCAGAGAAAUUUGAGCUAAUACCGGAUAAUGUCUUCGGACCAAAGAUUUAUCGCCUUUAGAUGGGCCCGCGUAAGAUUAGCUAGUUGGUGGGGUAAAGGCCUACCAAGGCGACGAUCUUUAGCUGGUCUGAGAGGAUGAUCAGCCACACUGGGACUGAGACACGGCCCAGACUCCUACGGGAGGCAGCAGUGGGGAAUAUUGGACAAUGGGCGAAAGCCUGAUCCAGCAAUGCCGCGUGAGUGAUGAAGGCCUUAGGGUUGUAAAGCUCUUUUACCCGAGAUGAUAAUGACAGUAUCGGAGAAUAAGCUCCGGCUAAACUCCGUGGCCAGCAGCCGCGGUAAU
This 451-nucleotide ribosomal RNA is filed under the name uncultured bacterium. Its description in RNAcentral is "bacterial SSU rRNA". It matches the Rfam family "Bacterial small subunit ribosomal RNA", at positions 29 to 524 of the family's 1533-position model. The record is from RNAcentral.